RNAcentral lists this long non-coding RNA (2564 nucleotides) under Mus musculus (house mouse). RNAcentral's name for it is "long non-coding RNA chr8:71495026-71497590". The record is from RNAcentral. Lineage: Eukaryota; Metazoa; Chordata; Mammalia; Rodentia; Muridae.
GCUAUAUAGAGAAACCCUGUCUUGUAAAACCAAAAAAAAAAAAAAAAAAAAAAGAGGACAAUGCUGCUGUGUCUGUUGCAGCCGCAGCCCGCCAGCAGAGGGCGAGCGUUCCUAGUGUAACUCCACUUCCCCCAGGCCAAGUGUGUCCUAAUUGAUGACUUGUCCUCACGCCUGUCACCUCAGCACCCCGUCCAAGCCAGGCUGGGUUAUAAAGCGAGAUCCUGUCUUGAAAAAAAGGGGAAGGGUCCCGAGCUCCCAGGAGGAGCCAUGGCGCCUCAAGCUGGGCGGGGCCGCCCCUCUGGGCAGCUCGCCCGAUGUAGGCCACUUGCCUCGGGGCUGGCACACAGCUGCAUGGAGGCCUUGGCCGCAGUCCCUUUUUUCCAAGAAGGGUGAGGAGUUUGUGGGAAGCGACGGGGGGGGGGGGGGUUAUUUAUAGAGAACGCAGGAAAUCCCCAAAGAGUCAGGGCCUCACCCAGCGGAGGCAGUCGGACCGGGCACUUGGCCCCCUUCCGCCCCGGAGCCCUGCCUGGGGCCUGGGAGCCUGGAUGAGACUAGGGGCCGAAGGGAAUCCAGAAAAGCUGCCUGGAGGAGGGGUCUGGGCAGAUAAAACUGAGCCAAGCCCCUACCCCAUGGUGUUUGUGUGUGUGUGUGAUGUUAUCAUACACGUGGGUGUGGGGAUUCUAGGGGACAUACUGGCCAGAAAAGGACACAGGUCAGGUCUCAAUUCUGUAUCCAGUGUUUAGCAUCCUCCUCUCUCUGCCCACAGUGCUAGGGUUACAGGUGCACAACUAUACCCUGCUUUUAUAUUGGCAAUUGAGACUCAGUUUCUCCUCUUUCAGCAACAAGUACUCUCACCCAGGGAGCUAGGCAAGGAAAAGCAUAGCCAGGCAUGUUAGUGCGCCAGCGAUCCCAGCAUUGUAGAGGCAGGAGGAUCUCUGAGUUGGAGGCCAGCCAGGCUAUGUAGCGAGCCUCUUGUCUCAAAACGAAACAAAUGAACACAAAUGAAGCAAAUAAACUUUGUUCACCCUUAAGUCCUGAUCAGAUAUUCUGAGAGCAGCCAGGGCUGAACCCUGUCUGUAAGCUGCCAAAGGGGCUGAGAAACUAGGCUGUAGGGUAAUGGGGAGCCAUGAAGGAUGUGUGACCAACAGAGGGCGGGUUCAGAAUCCAUGAUGAAGAGGACUGUGCCAGUAUAGGACCCUCCUGAGGCAGCGCUGGGGGCAGGCUUUUGUUUUCUCAUGUCAGCAAUGUAGGCCUCUCUGCCUGGACACUUCAGAUUCAUUAUCACAACCACUGUGGUUGUUAGAGGUGGGUUCUUACUGUGUAGCCCAGACUGGCCUGGAACUCUUGGGUUUAAGCAAUCCUUCUGCCUCCCAAUCAUGUUAGCUGAGAGUACAGAUUUGAAACAUGGUGUCUGGGAAGAGAAAACAAAGGCUGAGUUUGAUCACCAUCUGCACCCAGGCCAGUGGCUAUCAGACCUUCAGUCAGGUCGACUUCAUCCCAGAGCUCAGGCGCAGGUCCAGGGCCCGCCCCAAUUCCUUGGGGCCUUCAUCCCAGCCAUCCAGGCAGCCUCCCAGGCUGACCCCUGGUGGCCUGGUUGGCGGGGCUCCAGCCGAGUGCUUCCUGCAGUGACAGGCUCUGGCCCAUAUUUCCGGAUCCAGGAAAUAUCGCCGCUUUGUCCCCAAGGCAGAGUGUGGCACACAGGCUGUGUGAUUCACCUCCUGCUCCCACAGGGGCCAACGCUGGAGGGAGCAGCCGCCUUCUGCCUUCAUGUUUGUCUGCUUUUCCCUCGAUGGCUCCAGCUUGCUGCUGGGAUUCAAGGACAGCUGGGCUGGACAUUAGAGGGCUGCCCUUGCCCUUCAGUCCCCUGCCUCAGCCUCCCCACCAGGGACAGACCUGUUUCACCACGCUGGGCUUCAUUCUGUUGCAUGUUGUUUCUGUAAGGGCUACUAUUUUUUUUUUUUUAAAUCUGUACCAACCUGAGGAGAUGCAUCUUUCAAUAUGUUUGCACCAGAAGGCAAUAGGAUAGCUUUUCAUUUUUAUUUAGUCCUGAUGGUUGAAACAGGGUCUCCUGUAGCCCAGGCUGGCCUUGUAGUCCCAAUCCUCCUGCCUCAGCCUCUUCAGGUCUGGAAUAACACCACACCCAGUUUAUGUGGUGCUGGAGAUGGAGUCCAGGGUGUCAUUCAUGCAACACAAGCACUCUACCCACUGAGCCACAGGGUUGGGCUGAAAGGUGCAUGCCACCCGCCACAGCUGCCAUCUAUUCAUUUAAAGAUUCUAUGUUACCUUGAUUGCACCACCUGCAUGUGUGCUGCCUCUGGAGUUCAAGAGAGGGCAUCAGAUCCCCUGCAUGUAGUUGUAAGUUGCCAUGUUAAUGCUGGGAACCAAACCCAGAUCCUCUCUAGGAGCAGUCAGUACCUAACCUGCUGAGCUGUCUCACCAGUCCCCACUGAGCAUGAGAGUCAUCACUGUCCUCAGGAGGCUGAGGUAGUGAGAUCCAGAAUUCAAAGCCAACUUGGCAUGCAUAAUGUGACCUUGUUUACAGAAUAAAAACAUAAAUAGAAACC